GACGAACGCUGGCGGCGUGCUUAACACAUGCAAGUCGAACGGAAAGGCCCUGCUUUUGUGGGGUGCUCGAGUGGCGAACGGGUGAGUAACACGUGAGUAACCUGCCCUUGACUUUGGGAUAACUUCAGGAAACUGGGGCUAAUACCGGAUAGGAGCUCCUGCUGCAUGGUGGGGGUUGGAAAGUUUCGGCGGUUAGGGAUGGACUCGCGGCUUAUCAGCUUGUUGGUGGGGUAGUGGCUUACCAAGGCUUUGACGGGUAGCCGGCCUGAGAGGGUGACCGGCCACAUUGGGACUGAGAUACGGCCCAGACUCCUACGGGAGGCAGCAGUGGGGAAUAUUGCACAAUGGGCGGAAGCCUGAUGCAGCAAUGCCGCGUGCGGGAUGACGGCCUUCGGGUUGUAAACCGCUUUCGCCUGUGACGAAGCGUGAGUGACGGUAAUGGGUAAAGAAGCACCGGCUAACUACGUG
Molecule: ribosomal RNA, 468 nt
Filed under: uncultured bacterium
Lineage: Bacteria
Description: partial 16S ribosomal RNA
Rfam family: Bacterial small subunit ribosomal RNA
Source: RNAcentral